This 493-nucleotide ribosomal RNA is filed under the name uncultured bacterium. Its description in RNAcentral is "bacterial SSU rRNA". It matches the Rfam family "Bacterial small subunit ribosomal RNA", at positions 903 to 1397 of the family's 1533-position model. The record is from RNAcentral.
AAAUGAAUAGACGGGGGCCCGCACAAGCGGUGGAGCAUGUGGUUUAAUUCGAUGCAACGCGAAGAACCUUACCAAGAUUUGACAUCCCAAUGACCGCUCUAGAGAUAGGGCUUCCCUUCGGGGCAUUGGAGACAGGUGGUGCAUGGUUGUCGUCAGCUCGUGUCGUGAGAUGUUGGGUUAAGUCCCGCAACGAGCGCAACCCUUGCCUUCAGUAGCCAUCAUUAAGUUGGGCACUCUGGAGGGACUGCCGCGGAUAACGCGGAGGAAGGCGGGGAUGAGGUCAAAUCAUCAUGCCCUUUAUGUCUUGGGCAACACACGUGCUACAAUGGCUAUAACAAAGUGACGCAAGCCGGCGACGGCAAGCCAACCACAAAAAAAUAGUCUCAGUUCGGAUUGCAGUCUGCAACUCGACUGCAUGAAGCUGGAAUCGCUAGUAAUCGCGGAUCAGCAUGUCGCGGUGAAUACGUUCCCGGGCCUUGUACACACCGCCCGU